GGUAUAAUGAAGAAUCUUGAGGUCAUCCUGGAUUACCAAAGUGGGCCCUAAAUCCAGUGGCAGAAGACACAGACACAGAGAGGAGACCAGGUGAAGACAAAAGAAGAGGCUGGAGUGAUGCGACCAUCAGAGAGUGAAAAUACUCAGUUACCUCUUGGUUUAUGAGGCAAUGAAGCAUUCCAGCACAUAAAUAUUGACGCUGAGACCCAUGGGAUGUAGGAGUGCUGAGCACAUUUGCAAGACAUAAAGACAGAAGUGUGUGUGGUAUCUAGAUGAGAUGCAUGGUGAUGACUGGAGACUGGGCGUGAUGAAUGACUUAGGAAACCUCUGGAGGGUGCCUGCUUUGUGGCCAU
This 353-nucleotide long non-coding RNA is filed under the name Pan troglodytes (chimpanzee). RNAcentral's name for it is "long non-coding RNA NONPTRT010026". Lineage: Eukaryota; Metazoa; Chordata; Mammalia; Primates; Hominidae. The record is from RNAcentral.